GAAAUGCGAUAAGUAGUGUGAAUUGCAGAAUUCAGUGAAUCAUCGAAUCUUUGAACGCACAUUGCGCCCCUUGGUAUUCCAUGGCAUGCCUGUUCGAGCGUCAUUUGUACCCUCAAGCUCUGCUUGGUGUUGGGUGUUUGUCCCGUCUCCGCGCGUGGACUCGCCCCAAAGUGAUUGGCAGCCGGCGUACUGGUCCCGGAGCGCAGCACAUGUCGCGCAAACGAGUGCCUUGGUACGGCGGCGUCCAUAAGCCCCUCUCUCACGCUCUUGACCUCGGAUCAGGUAGGGAUACCCGCUGAACUUAAGC
This 307-nucleotide unclassified non-coding RNA is filed under the name plant metagenome. RNAcentral's name for it is "partial contains 5.8S ribosomal RNA, internal transcribed spacer 2, and large subunit ribosomal RNA". The stretch from base 1 to 103 matches the Rfam family "5.8S ribosomal RNA", at positions 50 to 154 of the family's 154-position model. The record is from RNAcentral.